GACGAACGCUGGCGGCGUGCUUAACACAUGCAAGUCGAACGGAAAGGCCUCUUUCGGGGGGUCCUCGAGUGGCGAACGGGUGAGUAACACUUGAGUAACCUGCCCUUGACUUUGGGAUAACUUCAGUAAACUGGGGCUAAUCCCGUACAGCAUCUCCUGCUGCAUGGUGGGGGUUGGAAAGUUUCGGCGGUUGGGGUUGGACUCGCGGCUUAUCAGCUUGUUGGUGGGUUAGUGGCUUACCAAGGCUUUGACGGGUAGCCGGCCGGAGAGAGUGACCGGCCACACUGGGACUGAGAGAAGGCACAGACGGCUACGGGAGGAAGAAGUGGGGAAGAUUGAACAAGGGGUGGAAGCCGGAUGCAGAAAGGCCGUGGGCGGGAUGACGGCCUUCGGGGUGAAAAACGCAUUAGAUCAAGACGAAGCGUUGAGUGACGUUAGUGGGUAAAGAAGCACCGGCUAACUACGUG
This 467-nucleotide ribosomal RNA is filed under the name uncultured bacterium. Its description in RNAcentral is "partial 16S ribosomal RNA". It matches the Rfam family "Bacterial small subunit ribosomal RNA", at positions 28 to 507 of the family's 1533-position model. The record is from RNAcentral.